RNAcentral lists this ribosomal RNA (1219 nucleotides) under metagenome. RNAcentral describes it as "bacterial LSU rRNA". It matches the Rfam family "Bacterial large subunit ribosomal RNA", at positions 1564 to 2794 of the family's 2925-position model. The record is from RNAcentral.
CGAUGCGGAGCGAAAUUUAGUAGCGAAGUAGCUGAUUUCACACUGUCGAGAAAAGUCUCUAUCGAGGUUAAAGGUGCCUGUACCGCAAACCGACACAGGUGGGUGAGGAGAGUAUCCUAAGGCCAGCGAGAGAACUGUUGUUAAGGAACUCGGCAAAAUGACCCCGUAACUUAGGGAGAAGGGGUGCCUUCGAAAGAAGGCCGCAGAGAAUAGGCCCAAGCGACUGUUUACCAAAAACAUAGGUUUCUGCUAAGUCGCAAGACGAUGUAUAGGAGCUGACGCCUGCCCGGUGCUGGAAGGUUAAGGGGAUCUGUUAGAGCAAUCGAAGCAGUGAACUUAAGCCCCAGUAAACGGCGGCCGUAACAAUAACGGUCCUAAGGUAGCGAAAUUCCUUGUCGGGUAAGUUCCGACCCGCACGAAAGGCGUAACGAUUUGGGCACUGUCUCAACAACAGACUCGGUGAAAUUGUAAUACCGGUGAAGAUGCCGGUUACCUGCGACAGGACGGAAAGACCCCAUGGAGCUUUACUGUAGCUUGACAUUGAGUCUCGGUGCUACAUGUACAGGAUAGGUGGGAGACUAUGAAGCAUGGACGUCAGUCUGUGUGGAGUCAUCCUUGGGAUACCACCCUUGUAGUACUGGGAUUCUAACCAGAGGCCAUGAAUCUGGUCUUGGGACACUGUCAGGUGGACAGUUUGACUGGGGCGGUCGCCUCCCAAAAAGUAACGGAGGCGCUCAAAGGUUCUCUCAGUACGGUCGGAAAUCGUACGAAGAGUGUAAAGGCAAAAGAGAGCUUGAUUGCAAGACAUACAGGUCGAGCAAGGACGAAAGUCGGACUUAGUGAUCCGGUGGUUCCGCAUGGAAGGGCCAUCGCUCAACGGAUAAAAGCUACCCUGGGGAUAACAGGCUGAUCUCCCCCAAGAGUCCACAUCGACGGGGAGGUUUGGCACCUCGAUGUCGGCUCAUCACAUACUGGGGCUGUAGUAGGUCCCAAGGGUUGGGCUGUUCGCCCAUUAAAGUGGUACGCGAGCUGGGUUCAGAACGUCGUGAGACAGUUCGGUCCCUAUCCGUCGCAGGCGUAGGAAAUUUGAGGAGACCUGUCCUUAGUACGAGAGGACCGGGAUGAACGUACCGCUGAUGUACCAGUUGUUCUGCCAAGGGCAUGGCUGGGUAGCUAAGUACGGAAAGGAUAAGCGCUGAAAGCAUCUAAGCGCGAAGCC